RNAcentral lists this ribosomal RNA (427 nucleotides) under uncultured prokaryote. Its description in RNAcentral is "bacterial SSU rRNA". It matches the Rfam family "Bacterial small subunit ribosomal RNA", at positions 355 to 796 of the family's 1533-position model. The record is from RNAcentral.
UGGGGAAUAUUGCGCAAUGGGGGGAACCCUGACGCAGCCACGCCGCGUGUGUGAUGAAGGCUUUCGGGUCGUAAAGCACUGUUUGGAGGGAAGAAGAACUGACGGUACCUCCCAAGAAAGCACCGGCUAACUCCGUGCCAGCAGCCGCGGUAAUACGGAGGGUGCGAGCGUUGCUCGGAAUCACUGGGCGUAAAGGGUACGCAGGCGGCUCGUUAAGUCGGGUGUGAAAGCCCGGGGCUCAACCCCGGAAUUGCGCCCGAUACUGGCGGGCUUGAGUACGGGAGAGGGAUAGCGGAAUUCCUGGUGUAGAGGUGAAAUUCGUAGAUAUCAGGAGGAACACCAGUGGCGAAAGCGGCUUCCUGGCCCGAUACUGACGCUCAUGUACGAAAGCGUGGGGAGCAAACAGGAUUAGAUACCCGCGUAGUCC